AAGACCUUAUGCUUUUGGAGCGGCCGAUGUCUGAUUAGCUAGUUGGUAAGGUAAUGGCUUACCAAGGCGACGAUCAGUAGUUGGUCUGAGAGGACGGCCAGCCACACUGGGACUGAGACACGGCCCAGACUCCUACGGGAGGCAGCAGUGGGGAAUUUUGGACAAUGGGCGCAAGCCUGAUCCAGCAAUGCCGCGUGAGUGAAGAAGGCCUUCGGGUUGUAAAGCUCUUUCAGUCGAGAAGAAAAGGUUGUGACUAAUAAUCAUAACUCAUGACGGUAUCGACAGAAGAAGCACCGGCUAACUACGUGCCAGCAGCCGCGGUAAUACGUAGGGUGCGAGCGUUAAUCGGAAUUACUGGGCGUAAAGGGUGCGCAGGCGGUUCUGUAAGUCAGAUGUGAAAUCCCCGGGCUUAACCUGGGAACU
Molecule: ribosomal RNA, 423 nt
Filed under: uncultured bacterium
Lineage: Bacteria
Description: bacterial SSU rRNA
Rfam family: Bacterial small subunit ribosomal RNA
Source: RNAcentral